GAUGAACGCUGGCGGCGUGCCUAAUACAUGCAAGUCGAGCGAACGGACGAGAAGCUUGCUUCUCUGAUGUUAGCGGCGGACGGGUGAGUAACACGUGGAUAACCUACCUAUAAGACUGGGAUAACUUCGGGAAACCGGAGCUAAUACCGGAUAAUAUUUUGAACCGCAUGGUUCAAAAGUGAAAGACGGUCUUGCUGUCACUUAUAGAUGGAUCCGCGCUGCAUUAGCUAGUUGGUAAGGUAACGGCUUACCAAGGCAACGAUGCAUAGCCGACCUGAGAGGGUGGUCGGCCACACUGGAACUGAGACACGGUCCAGACUCCUACGGGAGGCAGCAGUAGGGAAUCUUCCGCAGUGGGCGAAAGCCUGACGGAGCAACGCCGCGUGAGUGAUGAAGGUCUUCGGAUCGUAAAACUCUGUUAUUAGGGAAGAACAUAUGUGUAAGUAACUGUGCACAUCUUGACGGUACCUAAUCAGAAAGCCACGGCUAACUACGUGCCAGCAGCCGCGGUAAUACGUAGGUGGCAAGCGUUAUCCGGAAUUAUUGGGCGUAAAGCGCGCGUAGGCGGUUUUUUAAGUCUGAUGUGAAAGCCCACGGCUCAACCGUGGAGGGUCAUUGGAAACUGGAAAACUUGAGUGCAGAAGAGGAAAGUGGAAUUCCAUGUGUAGCGGUGAAAUGCGCAGAGAUAUGGAGGAACACCAGUGGCGAAGGCGACUUUCUGGUCUGUAACUGACGCUGAUGUGCGAAAGCGUGGGGAUCAAACAGGAUUAGAUACCCUGGUAGUCCACGCCGUAAACGAUGAGUGCUAAGUGUUAGGGGGUUUCCGCCCCUUAGUGCUGCAGCUAACGCAUUAAGCACUCCGCCUGGGGAGUACGACCGCAAGGUUGAAACUCAAAGGAAUUGACGGGGACCCGCACAAGCGGUGGAGCAUGUGGUUUAAUUCGAAGCAACGCGAAGAACCUUACCAAAUCUUGACAUCCUUUGACAACUCUAGAGAUAGAGCUUUCCCCUUCGGGGGACAAAGUGACAGGUGGUGCAUGGUUGUCGUCAGCUCGUGUCGUGAGAUGUUGGGUUAAGUCCCGCAACGAGCGCAACCCUUAAGCUUAGUUGCCAUCAUUAAGUUGGGCACUCUAAGUUGACUGCCGGUGACAAACCGGAGGAAGGUGGGGAUGACGUCAAAUCAUCAUGCCCCUUAUGAUUUGGGCUACACACGUGCUACAAUGGACAAUACAAAGGGCAGCGAAACCGCGAGGUCAAGCAAAUCCCAUAAAGUUGUUCUCAGUUCGGAUUGUAGUCUGCAACUCGACUACAUGAAGUUGGAAUCGCUAGUAAUCGUAGAUCAGCAUGCUACGGUGAAUACGUUCCCGGGUCU
This 1372-nucleotide ribosomal RNA is filed under the name uncultured bacterium. RNAcentral's name for it is "bacterial SSU rRNA". It matches the Rfam family "Bacterial small subunit ribosomal RNA", at positions 28 to 1381 of the family's 1533-position model. The record is from RNAcentral.